AUGACAAGUGUGGUCACCACUACGCGAUUUUCCUUGACCCGAAGAACCAACGAUUUGAGGUGCUUGAUUCAAUGCGUUCAGAAGCGGAUGAAGACCUUACUACGCAUGCUGAAUACUUCAUCAACAACCUCAAAGAGACAUGGAGCCGUCACUACGAAAACUCAAAGGUCCAGAUCAGACAUUUUCCAAUCGAGUACGUCGCGACUACGAAGCAAGGAAACCGGCACGACUAUGGCUUUCACACGUUGGAAUACCUUGCAAACAAAGAAGGUUGACGGGUCCCUGUCAUCACAACUGCAAUGGUCAUCGAGCUCCGCAAAAUAUACACAUGGAACUAGUUGA
This 342-nucleotide ribosomal RNA is filed under the name Triticum aestivum (bread wheat). RNAcentral describes it as "partial small subunit ribosomal RNA". The record is from RNAcentral. Lineage: Eukaryota; Viridiplantae; Streptophyta; Magnoliopsida; Poales; Poaceae.